GACGAACGCUGGCGGCGUGCUUAACACAUGCAAGUCGAACGAUGAAAGCUGGAGCUUGCUCCGGCUGGAUUAGUGGUGAACGGGUGAGUAACACGUGAGCAAUCUGCCCUUGACUCUGGGAUAACUCCGAGAAAUCGGUGCUAAUACCGGAUAUGACCCUUGGCGGCAUCGCUGGGGGUGGAAAGUUUUUCGGUCAAGGAUGAGCUCGCGGCCUAUCAGCUUGUUGGUGAGGUAAUGGCUCACCAAGGCGACGACGGGUAGCCGGCCUGAGAGGGUGACCGGCCACACUGGGACUGAGACACGGCCCAGACUCCUACGGGAGGCAGCAGUGGGGAAUAUUGCACAAUGGGCGCAAGCCUGAUGCAGCAACGCCGCGUGGGGGAUGACGGCCUUCGGGUUGUAAACCUCUUUUAGCAGGGAAGAAGCGAAAGUGACGGUACCUGCAGAAAAAGCACCGGCUAACUAUGUGCCAGCCGCCGCAGUAA
This 485-nucleotide ribosomal RNA is filed under the name uncultured bacterium. Its description in RNAcentral is "partial 16S ribosomal RNA". It matches the Rfam family "Bacterial small subunit ribosomal RNA", at positions 28 to 523 of the family's 1533-position model. The record is from RNAcentral.